RNAcentral lists this ribosomal RNA (576 nucleotides) under uncultured Flavobacterium sp. RNAcentral's name for it is "bacterial SSU rRNA". It matches the Rfam family "Bacterial small subunit ribosomal RNA", at positions 338 to 916 of the family's 1533-position model. The record is from RNAcentral. Lineage: Bacteria; Pseudomonadati; Bacteroidota; Flavobacteriia; Flavobacteriales; Flavobacteriaceae.
CCUACGGGAGGCAGCAGUGAGGAAUAUUGGUCAAUGGUCGCAAGACUGAACCAGCCAUGCCGCGUGCAGGAUGACGGUCCUAUGGAUUGUAAACUGCUUUUGUACGGGAAGAAACACUCCUACGUGUAGGGGCUUGACGGUACCGUAAGAAUAAGGAUCGGCUAACUCCGUGCCAGCAGCCGCGGUAAUACGGAGGAUCCGAGCGUUAUCCGGAAUCAUUGGGUUUAAAGGGUCCGUAGGCGGCCCUGUAAGUCAGCGGUGAAAUCUCCCGGCUCAACCGGGAAACUGCCGUUGAUACUGCAGGGCUUGAAUUGCCGGGAAGUAACUAGAAUAUGUAGUGUAGCGGUGAAAUGCUUAGAUAUUACAUGGAAUACCGAUUGCGAAGGCAGGUUACUACCGGCGUAUUGACGCUGAUGGACGAAAGCGUGGGGAGCGAACAGGAUUAGAUACCCUGGUAGUCCACGCCGUAAACGAUGGAUACUAGCUGUCCGGCGCAAGCUGGGUGGCUAAGCGAAAGUGAUAAGUAUCCCACCUGGGGAGUACGAACGCAAGUUUGAAACUCAAAGGAAUUGACGG